CAGAAAAUAGUUUAAGUAAAAAAAUUUUAAUUUUGGAGAUUAAAGAUAGAAGGUAUUUUUUUUUCUGA
Molecule: transfer RNA, 68 nt
Filed under: Staphylinidae sp. BMNH 1274252
Lineage: Eukaryota; Metazoa; Arthropoda; Insecta; Coleoptera; Staphylinidae
Description: tRNA-Pro
Source: RNAcentral